Non-coding RNA from Arachis ipaensis, 1272 nucleotides. The record is from RefSeq and is a predicted model, not a curated record. Lineage: Eukaryota; Viridiplantae; Streptophyta; Magnoliopsida; Fabales; Fabaceae.
UCGUUGGUUCUCAUGCAGAGAAUACUUAUCCACUUCUUUCACUCAGUUCUUGGGUAGAAAUGGCAUUGCUCGUUAUUUCUCAUGCCUAUAUACAUAUCAACAAAACGGGUGUGCCAAACAACAACAUUGCCAUAUCACUAAAAUUGGCAUGGCAUUAUUAGCAACUGCUCCAAUCCCUUUGAUAUAUUGGGAUGAUGUUUUUCUCUCAGCAAUGUAGCUUAUCAAUCGUUUACCAUCUCUCUCAAAUGAACACAAAUUCCCUUAUGAACCCUUUCAUCCAAAUUAUAAUUUUUUAAAGAUUUUUCGUUGUGCUGCUUAUCCUUGCAAAAACCAUAUAAUACUCACAAAUUUGACUUCAAAUCUACGCCAUCAAUUUUUAUUGGCUAUACAGCUAACCAUAAAGGUUAUAAGUGUUUAACAGCAUCUGGCAAGAUCAUAAUUUCUAGACAUGUUCUUUUCAAUGAGACUAUAUUCCUUUACAAAGAUCUUUUUUCCUCCACUACAACUCAACCUCAAUCUAAAAAUGACUUUUCUUUCCCUCACACUACAUUUACUAUGCCAGAUUAUCACCCAACUUGCUAGAUCCAACUCCCUUACAGACUCAAAUACCUUCAUUUCCUUCUUUUUCAACUCUAAACAAUACAUAUUCAUCUUAGCCAACUCUAGAGUUUACACCCAAAUCUAUUCUUUGGUCCACAAAUUUUUAUUAUUCAUCAAAUUCACCUUCUCAUACACUAACACUAAUUUCUUCUUUAUCUCAUUCCUCAUUAGUUUCACCAUAAUCUACACCUCUUCACACCAAAUUACAUCACCAAAGCAUCCCCAUCUCAAGAAUUCAGAUUCAGUUUGGAGAUUUACCUCCAUCACCUUCUACAGGAAGUAUUCAUCCAAUGAAACCUCAAGCAAAGUCAGAUUCUGAUUGGGACUCGGACUUGUAUGAUCGCUGUUCAACAUGUGAUAUUGUGUCUAUCUAGGAUUCAAUAUUAUUGUAUGAUCCAGCCGCAAACAAGCCUUAGUGAGUCAUUCCUCUACAAAAACUGAGCAUAGAGGUUUAGUAGCAGUAAGUUGAUUUGGAUAUAGAAUCUCCUCCAUGAACUUGAUUUUAAGAUUCAAGGCAUCCUAACACUUUAUUGUGACAAUUAGGGGUGGCAAACGGAUCUAAACUCGUCGGGCCGGCACGCGUAACCUGCCAAAAAAGGCGGGUCGGGCUGGAAAAUUGGGACCGCCAAAUAGCAAAAAUCCGCCUAAUCCGCACCGCUUAAACUGUGGGCU